CCUUCAACAGUACUAGGGGAACCUGUGUGGUAAUCGACACUCCACGUUAACAACUUACCUUCCUUUGAAAAAUCUCAGCCUGUAUACCUCCGCCUUAGCUCACCUUUAAGAGACUUAUAGUGAGCAAGAAGUGAACUCCACCAAAUGGCAGGUCAAGGUGCAGCUUAUGGGAAGGAGCAUCAUGGGUGACAAUUCGUUAUAAGAAUAAUGGACUCCUCUUGGAAACAAGGGGAUGAAAAUGGACUUAGAAGUAAGGAGUCCUUUAGAAAAGCCUCCUGAAACACUCCCUAGAAGGUGCACAAAUC
This 305-nucleotide ribosomal RNA is filed under the name Plumatella mukaii. RNAcentral's name for it is "partial 12S ribosomal RNA". Lineage: Eukaryota; Metazoa; Bryozoa; Phylactolaemata; Plumatellidae. The record is from RNAcentral.